GAGGGUGUAGCUCAGUGGUAGACUGCAGUGCUUAGCGUGCACGAGGUCCUGGGUUCAAUCCCCAGUACCUCCA
Molecule: transfer RNA, 73 nt
Filed under: Camelus bactrianus (Bactrian camel)
Lineage: Eukaryota; Metazoa; Chordata; Mammalia; Artiodactyla; Camelidae
Also listed under: 1 other name
Rfam family: tRNA
About the family: Transfer RNA (tRNA) molecules are approximately 80 nucleotides in length. Their secondary structure includes four short double-helical elements and three loops (D, anti-codon, and T loops).
Source: Rfam by way of RNAcentral